GCUAACAAAAUCGUUAGUUUCUCCCGUCAAACAGCACCAGUUGCUGCUUGAUCCAAAAGGAGAUGGGGUUAUAUCAGCCUUAUCAACCAAAUGAUACGAGGAGUCUGGAAGGACUCCACUUUU
Molecule: transfer-messenger RNA, 123 nt
Filed under: marine metagenome
Description: transfer-messenger RNA Proch_marin_AS9601
Rfam family: Cyanobacteria transfer-messenger RNA
About the family: Bacterial tmRNA, also known as 10Sa RNA or SsrA, is named for its dual tRNA and mRNA-like properties. Its role is to liberate the mRNA from a stalled ribosome. To accomplish this part of the tmRNA is used as a reading frame that ends in a translation stop signal.
Source: RNAcentral